GACGAACGCUGGCGGCGUGCUUAACACAUGCAAGUCGAACGGAAAGGCCCUGCUUGCAGGGUGCUCGAGUGGCGAACGGGUGAGUAACACGUGGGUGAUCUGCCCCUUACUUUGGGAUAAGCCUGGGAAACUGGGUCUAAUACUGGAUAGGACCAUGCUGUAGGUGGUGUGGUGGAAAGAUUAGUUUCGGUAAGGGAUGAGCUCGCGGCCUAUCAGCUUGUUGGUGGGGUAAUGGCCUACCAAGGCGUCGACGGGUAGCCGGCCUGAGAGGGUGGACGGCCACAUUGGGACUGAGAGACGGCCCAGACUCCUACGGGAGGCAGCAGUGGGGAAGAUUGCACAAUGGGCGCAAGCCUGAUGCAGCGACGCCGCGUGGGGGAUGACGGCCUUCGGGUUGUAAACUCCUUUCAGCCAUGACGAAGCCCUUGUGGUGACGGUAGUGGUAGAAGAAGCACCGGCUAACUACGUG
This 469-nucleotide ribosomal RNA is filed under the name uncultured bacterium. RNAcentral's name for it is "partial 16S ribosomal RNA". It matches the Rfam family "Bacterial small subunit ribosomal RNA", at positions 28 to 507 of the family's 1533-position model. The record is from RNAcentral.